AUGGAUGCUUGCUUCCAUAGUAAAAUUGGAAGGAUACAGAGAAGAUUAGCAUGGCCCUAGCACAAGAAUGACACCCAAAUUCGUGAAGCUUUCCAUAUUAAA
This 102-nucleotide small nuclear RNA is filed under the name Piliocolobus tephrosceles (Ugandan red Colobus). The record is from RNAcentral. Lineage: Eukaryota; Metazoa; Chordata; Mammalia; Primates; Cercopithecidae.